UACGUAGGGUGCGAGCGUUGUCCGGAAUUACUGGGCGUAAAGAGCUCGUAGGUGGUUUGUCGCGUUGUCCGUGAAAACUCACAGCUCAACUGUGGGCGUGCGGGCGAUACGGGCAGACUGGAGUACUGCAGGGGAGACUGGAAUUCCUGGUGUAGCGGUGGAAUGCGCAGAUAUCAGGAGGAACACCAAUGGCGAAGGCAGCUCGCUGGAACGGUACUGACGCUGAGGCGCGAAAGCGUGGGGAGCAAACAGG
RNAcentral lists this ribosomal RNA (253 nucleotides) under uncultured bacterium. Its description in RNAcentral is "partial 16S ribosomal RNA". It matches the Rfam family "Bacterial small subunit ribosomal RNA", at positions 524 to 776 of the family's 1533-position model. The record is from RNAcentral.